RNAcentral lists this ribosomal RNA (427 nucleotides) under uncultured Neochlamydia sp. RNAcentral describes it as "partial 16S ribosomal RNA". It matches the Rfam family "Bacterial small subunit ribosomal RNA", at positions 355 to 774 of the family's 1533-position model. Lineage: Bacteria; Pseudomonadati; Chlamydiota; Chlamydiia; Parachlamydiales; Parachlamydiaceae. The record is from RNAcentral. RNAcentral also lists the same sequence under 1 other name.
UCGAGAAUCAUUCGCAAUGGGCGAAAGCCUGACGAUGCGACGCCGUGUGAGCGAUGAAGGCCUUUGGGUCGUAAAGCUCUUUCGCUUGGGAACAAGAGAAGGUGGAUAAUACCCAUCUAAUUUGAGGGUACCAGGUAAAGAAGCACCGGCUAACUACGUGCCAGCAGCUGCGGUAAUACGUAGGGUGCAAGCAUUAAUCGGAUUUAUUGGGCGUAAAGGACGCGUAGGCGGGUUCAUAAGUCUUGUGUGAAAUUCCGGGGCUUAACCUCGGAGCUGCACAGGAAACUAUGAACCUAGAGGGUAGAAGGAGAAAACGGAAUUCCACAAGUAGCGGUGAAAUGCGUAGAUAUGUGGAAGAACACCUGUGGCGAAGGCGGUUUUCUAUUUUAUACCUGACGCUGAGGCGUGAAAGCAAGGGGAUCAAACA